UGAAUACGAGACGCUAAGGCGUCGAAGUAGUGUAUGUCAUACUUCCAAGAAAAGCUUGCACUGUCAUAAGUAAAAAAUGCCUGUACCAUAACCGACACAGGUGGGUAGGUAGAGUAUACUAAGGGGCGCGAGAUAACUCUCUCUAAGGAACUCGGCAAAAUAACUCCGUAACUUCGGGAGAAGGAGUACCUUAUUCUAUAAGGUUGCAAUAACAAGAUCCAAGCAACUGUUUAUCAAAAACACAGGUCUCCGCUAAGUCGUAAGACGAUGUAUGGGGGCUGACGCCUGCCCAGUGCCAGAAGGUUAAAGAAGUCGGUUAGCAUUAGCGAAGCUGGUAACUGAAGCCCUGGUGAACGGCGGCCGUAACAAUAACGGUCCUAAGGUAGCGAAAUUCCUUGUCGGGUAAGUUCCGACCCGCACGAAAGGCGUAAUGAUUUGGAUACUGUCUCGGAGAGGGGCUCGGUGAAAUAGACUUGUCUGUGAAGAUGCGGACUACCUGCACCAGGACAGAAAGACCCUAUGAAGCUUUACUGUAACUUGAAAUUGAAAUUGGACUUUAUUCGCGCAGUAUAGGUGGGAGGUGUUGAUUAUAAUCUUGCGGGAUUAUUGGAGCCAUCAGUGAGAUACCACUCUUGUAAUGUUAGAUUUCUAACUUUGAAUCAUUAUCUGGUCAAAGGACAGUUUCAGGCGGGCAGUUUGACUGGGGCGGUCGCCUCCCAAACGGUAACGGAGGCGUACAAAGGUUUCCUCUGAACGGGUAGAAAUCGUAUCUAGAGUGUAAAGGCAUAAGGAAGCUUGACUGUGAGACCUACAAGUCGAACAGGGACGAAAGUCGGUCUUAGUGAUCUGACGGUACUGAGUGGAAAGGCCGUCACUCAACGGAUAAAAGUUACUCUAGGAUAACAGGCUGAUCUCCCCCAAGAGUUCACAUCGACGGGGAGGUUUGGCACCUCGAUGUCGGCUCAUCGCAUCCUGGGGCGGUAGUACGUCCCAAGGGUUGGGCUGUUCGCCCAUGAAAGCGGUACGCGAGCUGGGUUCAGAACGUCGUGAGACAGUUCGGUCCAUAUCCGGUGUAGGCGUUAGAAUAUUGAGAGGAGCCUUCUUUAGUACGAGAGGACCGAGAAGGACAUACCUCUGGUGUACCAGUUAUCGUGCCAACGGUAAACGCUGGGUAGCUAUGUAUGGAGUGGAUAACCGCUGAAAGCAUCUAAGUGGGAAGCCCACCUCAAGGUAAGUAUUCUCAUC
Molecule: ribosomal RNA, 1245 nt
Filed under: metagenome
Description: bacterial LSU rRNA
Rfam family: Bacterial large subunit ribosomal RNA
Source: RNAcentral